RNAcentral lists this ribosomal RNA (276 nucleotides) under uncultured bacterium. RNAcentral describes it as "partial 16S ribosomal RNA". It matches the Rfam family "Bacterial small subunit ribosomal RNA", at positions 82 to 354 of the family's 1533-position model. The record is from RNAcentral.
CUCCCGCCGGCGACCGGCGCACGGGUGAGUAACACGUAUGAAACCUGCCCGUAGCAGGGGGAUAAGCGGAAGAAAUUCCGUCUAAUACCGCGUAACAACCCAUGGAGGCAUCUCUGUGGGUUUAAAGGAAGCGAUUCCGGCUACGGAUGGUCAUGCGUCGCAUUAGCUUGUUGGCGGGGUAACGGCCCACCAAGGCGACGAUGCGUAGGGGUUCUGAGAGGAAGGCCCCCCACACUGGGACUGAGACACGGCCCAGACUCCUACGGAAGGCAGCAG